This 301-nucleotide ribosomal RNA is filed under the name uncultured bacterium. RNAcentral's name for it is "partial 16S ribosomal RNA". It matches the Rfam family "Bacterial small subunit ribosomal RNA", at positions 509 to 807 of the family's 1533-position model. The record is from RNAcentral.
CAGUAGCCGCGGUAAUACGAAGGGGGCUAGCGUUGCUCGGAAUGACUGGGCGUAAAGGGCGCGUAGGCGGCGAUCAAAGUCAGGCGUGAAAUUCCUGGGCUCAACCUGGGGGCUGCGUUUGAUACUUGGUUGCUAGAGUGAGGAAGAGGGUCGUGGAACUCCCAGUGUAGAGGUGAAAUUCGUAGAUAUUGGGAAGAACACCGGUGGCGAAGGCGGCGACCUGGUCCUUGACUGACGCUGAGGCGCGAAAGCGUGGGGAGCAAACAGGAUUAGAUACCCGAGUAGUCCCUGUCUCUUAUAC